This 441-nucleotide ribosomal RNA is filed under the name uncultured bacterium. Its description in RNAcentral is "partial 16S ribosomal RNA". It matches the Rfam family "Bacterial small subunit ribosomal RNA", at positions 338 to 795 of the family's 1533-position model. The record is from RNAcentral.
CCUACGUGAGGCAGCAGUGGGGAAUAUUGCACAAUGGGGGAAACCCUGAUGCAGCGACGCCGCGUGGGUGAAGAAGUAUUUCGGGUUGUAAAGCCCUAUCAGCAGGGAAGAAAGAUGUCGGUACCUGACUAAGAAGCACCGGCUAAAUACGUGCCAGCAGCCGCGGUAAUACGUAUGGUGCAAGCGUUAUCCGGAUUUACUGGGUGUAAAGGGAUCGCAGGCGGCACACUAAGCCCGAUGGGAAAACCCGCGGCCCAACCGCGGGAGUGCAUUUGGUACUGGCGAGCGGGAGUACCGGAGGGGCAGGCGGAAUUCCUAGUGUAGCGGUGAAAUGCGUAGAUAUUAGGAGGAACACCAGUGGCGAAGGCGGCCUGCUGGACGGAGACUGACGCUGAGGCUCGAAAGCGUGGGGAGCAAACAGGAUUAGAUACCCUGGUAGUC